GGAUGUGAGGGCGAUCUGGCUGCGACAUCUGUCACCCCAUUGAUCGCCAGGGUUGAUUCAGCUGAUCUGGCUGGCUAGGCGGGUGUCCCCUUCCUCCCUCACCGCUCCAUGUGCGUCCCUCCUGAAGCUGCGCGCUCGAUCGAAGAGGACGACCAUCCCCGAUAGAGGAGGACCGUUCUUUGGUCAAGGAUAUACGAGUAGCUGCGCUCCCCUGCUAGAACCUCCAAACAAGCUCUCAUGUACCCAUGUGUUACGACUCACGUUGAUUCACCUCUAACUCAUCUUUACACUGGUUCCUGAUCCCCUGCUCAUGAUAACCUCUGU
This 324-nucleotide small nuclear RNA is filed under the name Castor canadensis (American beaver). Its description in RNAcentral is "7SK RNA (ENSCCNG00000030555.1)". It matches the Rfam family "7SK RNA". Rfam says of the family: 7SK was discovered as an abundant small nuclear RNA in the mid-70s but a possible function has only recently been suggested. Two independent studies have found that 7SK RNA binds the CDK9/cyclin T complex (known as elongation factor P-TEFb). The record is from Rfam by way of RNAcentral. Lineage: Eukaryota; Metazoa; Chordata; Mammalia; Rodentia; Castoridae.